GACGAACGCUGGCGGCGUGCCUAAUACAUGCAAGUAGAACGCUGAAGGAGGAGCUUCUUCUCCGGAUGAGUUGCGAACGGGUGAGUAACGCGUAGGUAACCUGCCUGGUAGCGGGGGAUAACUAUUGGAAACGAUAGCUAAUACCGCAUAAGAGUAGAUGUCGCAUGACAUUUGCUUAAAAGGUGCAACUGCACCACUACCAGAUGGACCUGCGUUGUAUUAGCUAGUUGGUGAGGUAACGGCUCACCAAGGCAACGAUACAUAGCCGACCUGAGAGGGUGAUCGGCCACACUGGGACUGAGACACGGCCCAGACUGCUACGGGAGGCAGCAGUAGGGAAUCUUCGGCAAUGGACGGAAGUCUGACCGAGCAACGCCGCGUGAGUGAAGAAGGUUUUCGGAUCGUAAAGCUCUGUUGUAAGAGAAGAACGAGUGUGAGAGUGGAAAGUUCACACUGUGACGGUAUCUUACCAGAAAGGGACGGCUAACUACGUG
Molecule: ribosomal RNA, 494 nt
Filed under: uncultured bacterium
Lineage: Bacteria
Description: partial 16S ribosomal RNA
Rfam family: Bacterial small subunit ribosomal RNA
Source: RNAcentral